Molecule: ribosomal RNA, 497 nt
Filed under: uncultured bacterium
Lineage: Bacteria
Description: partial 16S ribosomal RNA
Rfam family: Bacterial small subunit ribosomal RNA
Source: RNAcentral
GAUGAACGCUGGCGGCGUGCCUAAUACAUGCAAGUCGAGCGAACAGACGAGGAGCUUGCUCCUCUGACGUUAGCGGCGGACGGGUGAGUAACACGUGGAUAACCUACCUAUAAGACUGGGAUAACUUCGGGAAACCGGAGCUAAUACCGGAUAAUAUAUUGAACCGCAUGGUUCAAUAGUGAAAGACGGUUUUGCUGCCACUUAUAGAUGGAUCCGCGCCGCAUUAGCUAGUUGGUAAGGUAACGGCUUACCAAGGCAACGAUGCGUAGCCGACCUGAGAGGGGGGUCGGCCACACUGGAACUUGGACACGGUCCAGACUCCUACGGGAGGCAGCAGUAGGGAAUCUUCCGCAAUGGGCGAAAGCCUGACGGAGCAACGCCGCGUGAGUGAUGAAGGUCUUCGGAUCGUAAAACUCUGUUAUUAGGGAAGAACAAAUGUGUAAGUAACUAUGCACGUCUUGACGGUACCUAAUCAGAAAGCCACGGCUAACUACGUG